CCACAAUUAAACUAUACUCAAUGGAUUGACAAAAAUUAUUGCUACUUCUUAUUAAACCAGAAUCAAUAACUAUUUUCUUUACCAGUUAGUAAUUUUAAACGAGACAUUUGCCUCAUUAAAACCAAAAGGUAAAGGUUAUUGUGUACUUUGGCAUGAAGUUGUAGCAAGCAGAAAGGGUGAACAUAUAACAGAUGCCAUAUUAGCAUUAAUAAAACAGGAAAGAGAUGUGAAAGAUUUCAUAUUUUGAGCAGAUAACUGCACCGGACAAAAUAAAAAUUGGAUCUUAUUCACUGCUUUGGUUUGUACAUUAAAUACCAUCUAUAAUACUGUUGACAGUAGUAGUUUAAGUACUUGACCAAACGCCAUACACAUGAGUGUCAAUGUUACGCAUGGCAACAUUGAAAAAAAAUCGGAAAAGUAAGAAAUGCUUACGACUAUAAUUUAAAAAAAAAAAAUUUAAGAGAGCACAUAAAACUUAAAAAAACUUAAAUUAGUUAUUACCAUUGAUGUCAGAAAUAGUUGAAAUUUGUGGAUUAGUUUACCAGUAUCUGUGACGUCUACCGAUCUAGUUGAGAACAUUGGUCCAGCAGAUACAUUUCUAAAUGAACGUGCUUGAUAUAAGACCGAAGUUCUAACUAUUUGUAGCAAAGAUUGCACAUAAGGUAAGAUAAGUUAAGAAGUAAUUUUGUUGUGAAUUUUUAUAUUUCAUUAUAUAUACAUUAUAGGGUGGUCCUUAUGUAUAGAUGAUGACAUUUUUUUUUUAAAUUUUUGAUUGGGCCACCCCUGGAAUUUGUUCAAAACAACAAAAUAAUGAUCUGUGUGAAGUUUUGUAAAUAUUGAUUAACCCUAAGGCGUGCCUCAGGAGGGUUGAAGUUCAAAGAAGGGUGGUUUUUCGAUUUUUGCAAUUUCGGCCUAAAAUAUUUAAGUUAGGCGAAAAAGUGCUUUAACAUAUUAUUUUUUAAAUUGAAUAUGCUAUAAAAAAUGUAACUUGUACUUUUUUUGUUUAAUUACUCAUUCCAACACAAAAUAAAAAAAACUAGUAUUUAAUAUAUUUUACAUGAUUAUUUCGGUUAACAGCGUUAGGCGUACAGUUAACACGUUGGGUUUGUAGGUAUUAAACCAUCAUAGUUUUACUAUCUAAUCAAAUUAAGUAGGUAGAUAUUGUAGAUAAUCUUUGGUGUUCAACUAUAUUAUUCCACUAUAUCUUUAUUAAGAUUAUAGUGAAUAACUAAAUAAAAUAAUCAUUGGGAUUUUACAAUUAACUAUUAGCGUCUACAGAUUAUUAUUAAAUAACACGUUAUAGCGAUAAAGCUUAUUUAUGCUUGUAAGUAUUUAGUUGUUGGACGGUCGUCGAUCACGAUAUCGUUCUUGUGUUAUUUUGUUCGUUUUUACGUUAGUUCAAUGUAGUUAUUCAUUUAUAUGUUUUCCGUUGUUUUUUUUAAUUAAUGUUAAAGUGUUGUAAUAAUAUGACGGACAAAAUUAAUUUGCGUGAAAAUAUUUAUUUAAUUAAACAUACUACACAUCAACUUUUUGGUUGUAAAUUACCUUCAAAUAAACAAGUUCUAAGGGUUUUAUUUCAUAAUAUGCGUGAAGUCAAAUUGAGUCUACGAGAUAGUGCUCGAUUAGUCAUAGAAGAGGUUAUAAUAUUUUGGCAAAAAGCUCGUAUUCCGAACAGAGAAAUACGUCAUUGUAUACCAAAAUUAGAAGCGAUGUACAACGAAUGGCGAAAUUUGCAAAAAAAUUCGUCCAGGCGAAC
RNAcentral lists this long non-coding RNA (1756 nucleotides) under Cinara cedri. Lineage: Eukaryota; Metazoa; Arthropoda; Insecta; Hemiptera; Aphididae. The record is from RNAcentral.